This 1087-nucleotide long non-coding RNA is filed under the name Sus scrofa (pig). Its description in RNAcentral is "lncRNA (ENSSSCG00025017573.1, ENSSSCG00065014300.1)". Lineage: Eukaryota; Metazoa; Chordata; Mammalia; Artiodactyla; Suidae. The record is from RNAcentral.
UUUUUUUUUUUCUUUUUCGUCAUGCCUACAGCAUAUGGAGGUUCCCAGGCUAGGGGUCAAAUCAGAGCUACAGCUGCCACCACAACUCGGGAUCUAAGUAAGCCACAUCCGCAACUUAUGCAACAGCUUCUGGCUACACCAGACUGUUAACCCACUAAGCAAGGCCAGGGACUGAACUCACAUCCUCGUGGAUAUUAGUCAGUCAGUUUCGUUACUGCUGAGCCACAGCAGGAACUCCAAAGUUUUACUGAUGUAUAGUUGAUUUAACACGUUGUGCUACUUUCUGCUGUACAGCAAAAUGACCCCGUCACACACAUACAUACAUUCCCCUUCUUUUUUUUUUUUUGUCUUUUUGCCUUUUUCCUUUUUUUUCUGGGCCUGCUCCCGCGGCAUAUGGAGGUUCCCAGGCGAGGGGUCGAAUUGGAGCUGUGGCUGCCGGCCUACACCACAGCCACAGCCACGCCGGAUCCGAGCCACAUCUGCAACCUACACACCGCAGCUCACGGCAGUGCCGGAUCCUGCCACCAAAAUAAUGUAACAUUAGUUUAUACAGAAAAUGCUAUUAUUAAUUGUAAGUUUAUUUGUUUUCUUGGGCAUUUAAUCUGAAGCACACAGGUAAUUGCCUUAUAGAUUAACAAAGACGUUUGUGGCAGGCAGGUCUGCGUUUCUACGGCUUUAGGCUAUUAACACACUUGAACAAUGUAUUGUAGUGUCUUCAGUGCAUUCUGUUAAAGAAAUAUGACCAAAGAUGUAAAGGCGAUUAGUAAUGUAUUUCCUGUGCAGAGUGGAAAGUUCAAUAGAAACAUUAACAUAAACUUAUAGAAUGUCAGGUAAAAAAUGUUAAACGUUCAAUAAAAGUUAUCUCCCAUCUGGGUAAAUUUGUUUUCCCUUUAACAAUAUUUUCAAUUUAAAAUUAAUAGACAAUUUAUUUUUAAUGAGGAACUUUUAAAAUAUCGUCUUGUUUUGUAUACACUCUCUCAAUUUUAAAUCUCUUAUUUUAAAAAGCACUUAGUCAUUCUAGGAUGGAGCAGUCUCCGGACAUCAAUUACUUCGCCUCCAAUACACCUCUUCUCUCAAGGGAGAGGCC